AUCCAGCUGACGAGUCCGAAGUAGGACGAAACGCGCGUCAAACUGGAU
This is a non-coding RNA of Schistosoma mansoni, 48 nucleotides long. Lineage: Eukaryota; Metazoa; Platyhelminthes; Trematoda; Strigeidida; Schistosomatidae. The record is from Rfam.